ACGCUAAUCUCUCGGGAACCUUCCAUUCACCACAGGACCAAGCAGAGCCCUCGUCCCGGGGUUCGAACGGGAGUUCAAGGUCCUGCUCCAGAUGAGAGAGCCCAACUCCGAGGGCAAGGUUGAGAUCCUCAUCAUGGGGAGGCGCCGGUACCGGAAGCGUGCCAAAAGGCUGAUUCGCAUCUUGGCGGCGAAGCCCCGAGGGAAACGCUAUGGAGGCACAAUGAUGUUCAGCCUAGAAACCAUGAAGUCUUUUGAAAGAGAAAAUGUUCAUUCUGAUGAUUUCCUCUCCACCGCUAUGAUGAGUAGCCUGGAUGAAGCCAUGCAGUCCCUGGAAAUAGGUCAGGAGACUGUCCAGGAACCUGUUACCAAAACAGUGUAAUUUUUGUGAUUAGGAACCCAGUGCAGGGGGGUCGGUUUGGGUCAGGAGCCUUACCCUCAGAGGCCCGGUCUGAACUCUGCCUUUGUUCCUGUGGCUAAGGAGAAACAAGUAUUGUCGGUGGUCUAUCCACCUUCCUCCUUCAUAGAUAGUUGUUUAAAGAUUCAAAUGUGAGUUACAAUAAAAAAUAAACUUUAAAAAACAUAGAUAUAUACAUAGAUAUAGAUUAGUAGUGUCAAGAAAGGCAAUCUUGCUUUUGCAUGCUCCAAGAUGGGAAAAUGCUAAGAAUUAGCAAAUGGUUGGUUCUGCUUUUUCAUAGUGUUUUGUGUGAGGUGGGUAUGGCUGGGAUCUUUAAUGUUCCAGGGAGCUUUUGUCCAUAAGGAAGAACUUUACUACUGUUUAUUCUUUCACUAAUACUAAUUUUGAAAAAAAAAAUGUUUGAUAUUAAACAAGCUUUAAAAAAAAUAAAAAAUAAACAAGCUUUAUAAACCCAAUCAGUAAGUAUUGAAACAUUGAUGACAAGCUGAUUCCAUUCUCUUUGGCUUUUAGUUAAAAAGAAGUCGGUUAAUGUUUCUUUGUUGCAUCUUUUUUAAUAGCUUAAAUGUCAAAACACAUUAGCGAGUACAAAAUUUAUUAUGACUGGAACAAAAGCAUCUAUGUUUCUUCAUUAUUCCUGUAAUUCCAAAUAGAAUAGAUUUCCUUAUUUAAAUAAUUUUGUUAUUUCGCUUUCUCAGAGUAUUACCAUACAUAAAAGAAAACGGAUUCUAUCACAGCCCAACUGAAUUUGCAUUUCCUGGGUUCACUAACCAAUUACUUCUGGGUUAGAUCCUAAGAAUCCAUUUAUUGAGCAUUUGGUGUAGGACCAGGUUUUGUUAAGUAUUUACAUACAUUAUUUGACUUGAUCUUCAUAAUAAUUCUAUUAAAUCAGUCUCUGAAAAUAGAUGUGAUUAUGCCCAUUUUAUGGAUGAGGAAGGGGCAGGGUGGAGACAUCAAAUAAUGGGUAUCCUGCUUUUUUGUCACUUUUCAUGUUGAUAACAUUUUCACACUACACUAUAACCUCCUUGUGGCAUUAGGCAUGAUGUUUCAAUUUUCUUUUACCCCAAGACCCUAGGCACAUAGUUAAACACUGGGUUAUUGACUGUUAACAGUGAUUGUCUUGUUUACCAACCACUGGGCCCUGGUUAAUGCAAAUAAUGGUGUUAAUGAGUAAAAACCAGGUCUACCACGUGGCCAUUUGACCAUAUAUGAAUCCCUGUACGUUCUGUACAAUGUCAAGAAAAGUCCUUGCUUAAGUUUCAUAAUAAUAUAGUCAGGAAAAUUUAUUGAACCAUUUUUUCCCCUUUCCCUUAAC
Molecule: long non-coding RNA, 1727 nt
Filed under: Canis lupus familiaris (dog)
Lineage: Eukaryota; Metazoa; Chordata; Mammalia; Carnivora; Canidae
Description: lncRNA (ENSCAFG00030013789.1)
Source: RNAcentral